RNAcentral lists this ribosomal RNA (366 nucleotides) under Prosopodonta limbata. Its description in RNAcentral is "SSU rRNA". It matches the Rfam family "Eukaryotic small subunit ribosomal RNA", at positions 602 to 926 of the family's 1831-position model. Lineage: Eukaryota; Metazoa; Arthropoda; Insecta; Coleoptera; Chrysomelidae. The record is from RNAcentral.
UAUUAAAGUUGUUGCGGUUAAAAAGCUCGUAGUCGAAUUUGUGUCCCGCGCCGCCGGUUCAUCGUACGCGGUGUUAACUGGCGUGCCGCGGGACGUCCUGCCGGUGGGCCUAAGUCCGCAAGGGCGUCGGCCCGACCCAAUCCCGCCGCGGUGCUCUUCAUUGAGUGUCGAGGUGGGCCGGCACGUUUACUUUGAACAAAUUAGAGUGCUUAAAGCAGGCUAAAACUUCGCCUGAAUACUGUGUGCAUGGAAUAAUGGAAUAGGACCUCGGUUCUAUUUUGUUGGUUUUCGGAACCCCGAGGUAAUGAUUAAUAGGAACGGAUGGGGGCAUUCGUAUUGCGACGUUAGAGGUGAAAUUCUUGGAUC